Saccostrea cuccullata (small rock oyster) is the source of this 325-nucleotide long non-coding RNA. RefSeq lists it as uncharacterized. The record is from RefSeq and is a predicted model, not a curated record. The transcript is spliced from 3 exons. Lineage: Eukaryota; Metazoa; Mollusca; Bivalvia; Ostreida; Ostreidae.
CCUGUUGGAACGCAUGGUUUAAACUGUAGUGAACAAUGUAUAAAGGGUUACUAUGGAAGGCUUUGUCUAGAACCAUGUGACUGUCCCGCUAAUCUGUGUGAUGUAAUAUAUGGUUGCUAUGGCAACAGUUCUCAUCCCUUUACCGCUGAAGUUCGGUCUUUAAGUGGAAUAAAUAUAGGUAUGACGUCAUCAUCUUGGAGAAACUCAAUAUUCAUCGGAAUUGUGUUGAUGGGAACUUUCUUAAUUAUAGGAGUGAUGUUCUUCAUUAAGUCUUGGUUCAUUAAAAUGAAAACUCGUGCAGCAAGUAACCAAAGGGGGGCAUCAG